RNAcentral lists this long non-coding RNA (751 nucleotides) under Sparus aurata (gilthead seabream). RNAcentral's name for it is "lncRNA (ENSSAUG00010015694.1)". Lineage: Eukaryota; Metazoa; Chordata; Actinopteri; Spariformes; Sparidae. The record is from RNAcentral.
CCUGGGAACGAUAAGUAGUGCUGUGUAACUUUGAGUGACUGUGAGAACAGUGAAAUGUCCCGUCAUUACAAAGUGAGAUUAGAUCAACAUCUUAUCAUCCAUGUGCAGAACUCGACAAUGCAAAACACAUUGAGAAAUACAGAAUGACUGGAUAAGAUGAUUCCAUCUCCAUACUUAUAAAGAGACGGGUAACUCACGACUGCUCAGCAGAGACGUCCACAUCACCUCUAGAUCUCACAGUGCUCACUUUGCUGUCUGUGACACCAGUUUUUUUUUGUUCUAACAAACAAGCUGUGGAAAGGAUGAAGGGUGUUAUGAUCUUUCUGGUGUUGACGUUGGUCGUCAUCAUGGCUGAACCUGGGGAAAGUCGUUAUCGACCUGGUCGACCUAGAUGCUUCAGGCACCCAUGCGACUUGGAGGAUGGGGAAGAUCCCAAGACAAAGUGGCUGAUGAUAAAUUGAGGAGAUACUAUGAAGACUGAGUCUGUUCUUCAUUUUGAAGAUAUAGUUUCAGCUAUAUCUUUGUGCUCUGCAAAGCAACAGAUAAUUAGAUGAGUAAACAUGAAGCUCUUGAGAUGAAGUGAUUUUAGUCACAGCUCCAAUUGAUGUUGAAAGAUGUAAAAUUGCUUGAUAGUGAAAACUAUCCUGCUGAAUAAAGCUGCAUUCCAAAAGACCGUCUGUGUGUUGUGGUGUUAUUUAAGUGAAUAUGUGCUUGUAAUUUCAUUGGUGAUUUUUUAUUAAGUCAGAAGUAA